UUUUCGAGAUUUUUUUAAAUUUAUAGGUUUUGUGGUUUGCGAAGGAAGGAAUGUGUGGUGGGCGAAAAUUUAAAUCACAGCACUGUACUCCGGUAUCUUGAACUCCGAAAGAAAACCCAACUUAAUAAAUAAAAUGUGAGUACACUACGUAAAGUAAGGCAGAAAUCAAAGAAUUACCAUAAAAGAAAAGGCAAAAGAAAACAAAGGAAAAGGCGAAAAAAUUUUUGGAAGGAAAAAAUAUGGAAUUGCAGUGCAAGAGUGCUUGUUUAAAUUUUGGGGAAAAUUUCGAUGAGAUGGGGAUUUCCUUUCUACCAAAACAAACAAGGAAUCUCAACGAAAUG
Molecule: non-coding RNA, 341 nt
Organism: Schizosaccharomyces pombe (fission yeast)
Lineage: Eukaryota; Fungi; Ascomycota; Schizosaccharomycetes; Schizosaccharomycetales; Schizosaccharomycetaceae
Source: the annotation of a GenBank genome assembly